This 883-nucleotide ribosomal RNA is filed under the name Bacillus licheniformis. RNAcentral describes it as "bacterial SSU rRNA". It matches the Rfam family "Bacterial small subunit ribosomal RNA", at positions 647 to 1510 of the family's 1533-position model. Lineage: Bacteria; Bacillati; Bacillota; Bacilli; Caryophanales; Bacillaceae. The record is from RNAcentral.
CGUAAGAGGGAGAGUGGAAUUUCCCACGGUGUAGCGGGUGAAAAUGCGUAGGAGAUUGUGGAGGAAACACCCAGUGGGCGAAGGGCGACCUCUCUGGUCUUUAACUGACCGUUGAGGGCGCGAAAAGCGUGGGGAGCGAACCAGGAUUAGAUACCCCUGGUAGUCCCCCGCCGUAAACGAUGAGUGUUAAGUGUUAGAGGGUUUCCGCCCUUUAGUGGUACAGCAAGCGCUUUAAGCACUCCGCCUGGGGAGUACGGUCGCAAGUCUGAAACUCAAAGGAAUUGGCGGGGGCGCGCACAAGCGGGGGCACAUGGGGUUUAUUUUGAAGCCACGAGAAGAACCUUCCCAGGUUUUCACAUCCUGUGACAACCCUAGAGAUAGGGGUUCCCUUUCGGGGUCAGAGUCACAGGUGGCGCAUGGUUGUUGUCAGCUCGUGUCGUGAGAUGUUGGGUUAAGUCCCGCAACGAGCGCAACCCUUGAUUUUAGUUCCCCGCAUUCAGUUGGGCACUCUAAGGUGACUGCCGGUGACAAACCGGAGGAAGGUGGGGAUGACGUCAAAUCAUCAUGCCCCUUAUGACCUGGGCUACACACGUGCUACAAUGGGCAGAACAAAGGGCAGCGAAGCCGCGAGGGUAAGCCAAUCCCACAAAUUUGUUCUCAGUUCGGAUCGCAGUUUGCAACUCGACUGCGUGAAGUCGGAAUCGCUAGUAAUCGCGGAUCAGCAUGCCGCGGUGAAUACGUUCCCGGGCCUUGUACACACCGCCCGUCACACCCCGGGGAGUUUGUUACACCCGAAGUCGGUGAGGUAACCUUUUGGAGGCAGCCGCCGCAAGGUGGGACACGAUGACUGGGGUGAAGUCGUAAACAAGGAGCCUUGGCGGCC